UGGAAACUGGGCUCUGAGACGUCACGGAGACCGAAAGUCUGUCUGACAGGCACCGAGAGGGCAGACGCGAAGCAUGAUGGGGCGGUGGCGGACCCCAGUAGCUCCAACUCCUACCACGUGGUAUGGUACCGGGCACGCGCCCAGCAGGUAGAGCGCCUGCUGGGUUUGCAUGAAGUAAGCCGUGGGUCGAUUCCCAGGACAGCAGAAACCAGGUAUGGUGGUGCACACCAGCCAGUCAGCACUCUGGAGAUGGAAGGAGGAGGCUCAGGAGUUCGAGGCCAUCCUUACAGCAAAUUUCAGCGUUCUGCCUGCAGACCAGAAGAGGACACUGCAUCUCACUAUAGAUGGUUGUGAGCCACCGGGUGGGUGCUGGAAACUGAACUCUGGACCUUUGGAAGAACAGUCAGAGCUCUUAACCUCUGAGCCAUCUCUCCAGCCCCUCGUCGUUUCUUCUUUGAACAUGACUAUUUAACAAACCACAACCAACAACAACCAACAGCCCAUUAACCAACCCCUCAUCUUCUCAGGCCCUAGCAUUUAUGUACCCUCUGAAAAGACCCCAGAAUUCCAAAGGUCACACAGUCGCAGAAACUAUCUGCCUCUGGCAAAUAAAUAAAUAAACAAACCUAGCGCUCCUAGAGCACAAGGCAAAUCAUAGUCACCUGCUGUGAAACAUCCCCAUACACCCAUCCCUGGGAUUAAAAC
Molecule: long non-coding RNA, 705 nt
Organism: Psammomys obesus (fat sand rat)
Lineage: Eukaryota; Metazoa; Chordata; Mammalia; Rodentia; Muridae
Exons: 3
Source: RefSeq, a predicted model, not a curated record